GCCUGAGAAACGGCUACCACAUCCAAGGAAGGCAGCAGGCACGCAAAUUACCCAAUCCCAGCUCUGGGAGGUAGUGACGAAAAAUAACAAUGCGGGACUCUUCCGAGUCUGCGUAAUUGGAAUGAGUACACUUUAAAUCCUUUAACCACAACCAAUUGGAGGGCAAGUCUGGUGCCAGCAGCCGCGGUAAUUCCAGCUCCAAUAGCGUAUAUUAAAGUUGUUGCGGUUAAAAAGCUCGUAGUUCGAGUUCAGUUCCGGACUGGCCGGGGAGGUCACCGCCCGGUGCUUCCCCGUCAGGCUCCGAACAGCUUUUACGAACUAAAAGCCAAGCCGGUUUGGCCGGGGUGCUCUUGACCGAGUGUCCCGCGCGGCCGGCCAGUUUACCUUGAAUAAAUGAGAGUGCUCAAAGCAGGCUACUCUUAAAAAUAAAGCCCGAAUGUUACCUGCAUGGAAUGAUGGAAGAUGAACGUCGGUUCCAUUUUAUUGGCGUUGGGAAUCCGAGUUAAUGAUAAACAGGGACGGUCGGGGGCAUCCGUACUACGACGCGAGAGGUGAAAUUCAGUGACCGUCGUAGGACGAACAACAGCGAAAGCAUUUGCCAAGAAUGUCUUCGUUGAUCAAGAACGAAAGUUAGAGGAUCGAAGGCGAUCAGAUACCGCCCUAGUUCUAACCCUAAACGAUGCUGACUAGCAAUCCGCCGUCGUUAUUCCCAUGACGUGGCGGGACGCCCCCGGGAAACCCUAAGUGUUUGAGUUCCGGGGGUAGUAUGGUUGCAAAAGUGAAACUUAAAGGAAUUGACGGAAGGGCACCACCAGGAGUGGAGCCUGCGGCUUAAUUUGACUCAACACGGGAAACCUCACCAGGCCCGGACACCAGAAGGAUUGACAGAUUAAGAGCUCUUUCUCGAUUUGGUGGGUGGUGGUGCAUGGCCGUUCUUAGUUGGUGGAGUGAUUUGUCUGGUUAAUUCCGGUAACGAACGAGACUSUGGCCUACUAAAUAGUSGACGGGCGUUUUUGUGCAAUGGGCCCCGUUAGACAAAGUCUUCUUAGAGGGAUGAGCAGCGAGUAUAGCUGCAGGAGAUUGAGCAAUAACAGGUGUGAGAUGCCCUUAGAUGUCGUGGGCCGCACGCGCGAUACAUUGAAUGGGUCAGCGGGUUGUCCUUCUCCGAGAGGAGCGGGAAAUCGCGUGAAAACCAUUCCUGAUAGGGAUUGGGGAUUGCAAUUGUUUUCCAUGAACGAGGAAUUCCCAGUAAGAGCAAGUCAUCAGCUUGCGUUGAUUAAGUGCCUGCCCUUUGUACACACCGCCUGUUGAUAUUACCGAUUGAAUGAUCUAGUGAGGCCUUCGGACUGGCGGUCUUGGAUUGGGUUUCCAGCGGGCCAUAUAAAUC
Molecule: ribosomal RNA, 1387 nt
Filed under: Pasiphaea planidorsalis
Lineage: Eukaryota; Metazoa; Arthropoda; Malacostraca; Decapoda; Pasiphaeidae
Description: SSU rRNA
Rfam family: Eukaryotic small subunit ribosomal RNA
Source: RNAcentral